AACGAACGCUGGCGGCAGGCUUAACACAUGCAAGUCGAGCGCCCCGCAAGGGGAGCGGCAGACGGGUGAGUAACGCGUGGGAACGUACCUUUUGGUUCGGAACAACUCCGGGAAACUGGAGCUAAUACCGGAUAAGCCCUAACGGGGAAAGAUUUAUCGCCGAAAGAUCGGCCCGCGUCUGAUUAGCUAGUGGUGAGGUAACGGCUCACCAAGGCGACGAUCAGUAGCUGGUCUGAGAGGAUGAUCAGCCACACUGGGACUGAGACACGGCCCAGACUCCUACGGGAGGCAGCAGUGGGGAAUAUUGGACAAUGGGCGCAAGCCUGAUCCAGCCAUGCCGCGUGAGUGAUGAAGGCCUUAGGGUUGUAAAGCUCUUUUGUCCGGGAAGAUAAUGACUGUACCGGAAGAAUAAGCCCCGGCUAACUUCGUG
This 430-nucleotide ribosomal RNA is filed under the name uncultured bacterium. RNAcentral describes it as "partial 16S ribosomal RNA". It matches the Rfam family "Bacterial small subunit ribosomal RNA", at positions 29 to 507 of the family's 1533-position model. The record is from RNAcentral.